Molecule: non-coding RNA, 1633 nt
Organism: Aegilops tauschii subsp. strangulata
Lineage: Eukaryota; Viridiplantae; Streptophyta; Magnoliopsida; Poales; Poaceae
Source: RefSeq, a predicted model, not a curated record
CAUGAUGCAGGACUCAAGUGUGUGUAAACCGUAAAGAUUAGACCAAUGGAUAUCAGAAAAAAGGAGCUCGAUCAGGUGAAGUUUUUGUUUGGUGGGUUGUUAACAAAUUGCAGCUGGGUGUUGCACUGUUGGUACCUUUAAUUCCUUGCUCUUAGCAUCAACAAAGCUAGUCGAACGCCCAGGUCGUGGCCUGAUGUGCUCACCAGCGGCGCUGGAUAUGCCCACUUCCUUUCUCGCGCAACGCCUUCCACCACCGCCUCCAACCUGACCUAGCUCUCCAUUGCUUAACAUCCCCACACUGGGUGUUCCAGGUUGUUGUCUGCCUCUCUCCGUCUCUUGAUUCCCUCUUAUUUUGUCAUGUCCAUGCUACGGCUCAGAGUAGAACCCAGCUUGUUUUUUUCAUGGUCAACAACACAUACUGCUGAAAAUGUUAAUUACCGUCGGCUUGGUGCAAUUAUAGUUUAUGGAUGUUCUCAGAUUUCCUUUUCUUUCGUACAUUUAUUACACACAUGGUGUAGUGAGGGCAAGCAUUUUGAGAACUGAUGUCUUCAUUAGUUAGUUGACCCAUGUAUGUCCUGUGUUUAUCCAACAUUUGGUCCCGUAUUUUUAACUUUGGUGUCUACUUGAGAAAAGGAGGAAAAACUACAAUUCAAAGCCUUUUAUAAAAUGCAUGUCACUUUAUUUUCUAAGAUAUAAAAAUUACUUGAAUUAUCUGUAGCAUACUUCUUUGUCAUAUAAUAUAGGUCUCCCAGGCGAUCUAAACAAAUACGAAGGAUAUAAUUAGGCACAUAUGCCACUUUCUUUGUUAACUUGUAUGAAGAAAAAAGAAAACUUGUAUUAGCAAAAUUGUUCAGUACUGUUAGUCGAGCAGUACACAUGUAUGAACAAAAAACGAACAUGUAUGAACAAAAUCGUCCAAUAGUUUUAUUCGAGCAGUAUAUAGAAAAACCAUCGCCCAAAUGCAUAUGGAGUACUCAAGCUGAACAAGCCAAUUGGAUGGUAGAAUAUGCUAUCAGGCUUAAAGUUUAUAUUGAGGUUUGAAGAGAAAAUAUAGAAAAGUAAGGGCCGAAGGUACUUCAAUUGUAAGUGCAUGCUUACGGAGUUCUAUCAUGCACAAUCAUGUGUGCACACCGGUCUAUCCAGAAGAUUAGCUCGCGACCCUCUCCGCCGGCUCCCCGGGGGUCGCAUCCGGCUUGCCGCAAGUACACCUACGCCGCCGCCUCCCCGGGGGCCGCAAGGUGAAGUGGACGACCGGGGAGAAGCCAUGUGGCGGGGGGCAGGCUCUCAAGUGGGAGACAGCUCGCCUCCCCCAACGACGACAACUUCGACCUCAAGUGGAAGUGGGAGGCCAAGUCCAAGCCUGGCGCCGUUGGCAAGGCCAAAACCAAGUGAGGCACUGAGGAAGCCAACAAGGAUGACAAGAAGAAGCCGGCGAGGAAGUGUGUCCAGAGCAGGGAGAUCCCCGUUGGCUGGACGUCCAGAUCGAGGUACUCAACCUAGCCCUGAAUAUAAUGCCUCGUGACUCCACCCCCGGCUACACCAUUUAUUAUCUAUCCUAUUGUGAUGUGUGUUUUAUUCCUCUCACAUGCAUUCCUUUUUGUGCUUUAUGUGAUUCUGUUUUUGUUCUAAUGCA